UAGGAUUUAGUGUAGUGGUAGCACAAAGAUUUUUGAGGUCUUUGGUUUAGGUUCAAGGCCUAAAGUCCUAG
RNAcentral lists this transfer RNA (71 nucleotides) under Rhizomys sinensis (Chinese bamboo rat). RNAcentral's name for it is "tRNA-Gln". It matches the Rfam family "tRNA". From Rfam's summary of the family: Transfer RNA (tRNA) molecules are approximately 80 nucleotides in length. The record is from RNAcentral. Lineage: Eukaryota; Metazoa; Chordata; Mammalia; Rodentia; Spalacidae.